RNAcentral lists this transfer RNA (72 nucleotides) under Bipalium kewense. RNAcentral's name for it is "tRNA-Tyr". The record is from RNAcentral. Lineage: Eukaryota; Metazoa; Platyhelminthes; Tricladida; Geoplanidae.
UUUUGAAUAAUUUAAAUAUCAGAAUAAUAAAUUGUAAAUUUAUGUGUGGAAAAUUUUGAGUUUCUUCAAAAA